AUUGAACGCUGGCGGCAGGCCUAACACAUGCAAGUCGAACGGCAACAGGAAGCAGCUUGCUGCUUUGCUGACGAGUGGCGGACGGGUGAGUAAUGUCUGGGAAACUGCCUGAUGGAGGGGGCUAACUACUGGAAACGGUAGCUAAUACCGCAUAACGUCGCAAGACCAAAGAGGGGGACCUUCAGGCCUCUUGCCAUCGGAUGUGCCCAGAUGGGAUUAGCUAGUAGGUGGGGUAACGGCUCACCUAGGCGACGAUCCCUAGCUGGUCUGAGAGGAUGACCAGCCACACUGGAACUGAGACACGGUCCAGACUCCUACGGGAGGCAGCAGUGGGGAAUAUUGCACAAUGGGCGCAAGCCUGAUGCAGCCAUGCCGCGUGUAUGAAGAAGGCCUUCGGGUUGUAAAGUACUUUCAGCGGGGAGGAAGGGAGUAAAGUUAAUACCUUUGCUCAUUGACGUUACCCGCAGAAGAAGCACCGGCUAACUCCGUG
Molecule: ribosomal RNA, 490 nt
Filed under: uncultured bacterium
Lineage: Bacteria
Description: partial 16S ribosomal RNA
Rfam family: Bacterial small subunit ribosomal RNA
Source: RNAcentral